GGUUAAGUUAAUAAGGGGCGCACCGGUGGAUGCC
This 34-nucleotide ribosomal RNA is filed under the name Streptococcus agalactiae. Its description in RNAcentral is "partial 23S ribosomal RNA". Lineage: Bacteria; Bacillati; Bacillota; Bacilli; Lactobacillales; Streptococcaceae. The record is from RNAcentral.